CUGGGGUUCUUGGGAAAUAUUAGCAUCAAGGAGGACACAACUGGGUGAGAGUGGCUUAAAGGGGAAUUAGGGAUGGGACAUUUGGAGAUGGCUUUGCGCUUUGUGAUUCUUAAUCCACCUGAAAAGACAUGGACUACCCGGCAGGCCCUUGGGUCACUGCCCACAUACUUCCUCCAGCAGACUGACCUUCGAGUAGGAUGAGCAGCUCUCAUGAUGACUGUCCCCUCGAGUGGCAGUCAGGGCACCUCAAGCUUCCUGACACAUGAUAAAAAGGCUUCAGGCUGGAAAACCCAUAUUCUGCUUCUAACAAGCCAAGUUGUCAUGGCACGCCAUGGCUGAUGUCCACUCCUGGGGAUACACCCUGAAGCAGAUCAAAGUGACAAAUCUCCAGACAUUUGAGUGCCCUAAGGAUCAUGCCUGUCUAACUUGGUAUGUAUCUCAUGAGCUUAAUUCAGCAUGAUGUCUUGAAUGUCAUGGACAUGUCCUUCCAUCGGCGUCCUUACAUCACGGUUGACCAAGUACAUCAUUCUUCUGCAUGGCAAACUGCUACUGCAUGAGCAGCAGCAUCCUUACAGAUGUUUCCAUUUCAUCCAGAUUGAUGUAAUCCUUAGUCCUAGUGAGGAUCCUAUUCUCUACGUUUAUGUAAAUAUAUUAUCUUUCUCUUUUGGAAGAUUCAUUUUUACCCCUCACUAUUAGGAAGGCUCCUUCGAUGGUGGCUGGCCCUACCUUAUAUUUACCCCUGAUAGUGUUUGUCCAACUUCCCAACCAACUUUAAUUAAAACUCACAAUCUGACCAUCCUGGCUAACAUGGUGAAACCCCAUCUCUACUAAAAGUAAAAAAAUUAGCCAG
This 850-nucleotide long non-coding RNA is filed under the name Homo sapiens (human). RNAcentral describes it as "HSALNT0212095". The record is from RNAcentral. Lineage: Eukaryota; Metazoa; Chordata; Mammalia; Primates; Hominidae.